This 243-nucleotide long non-coding RNA is filed under the name Elaeis guineensis (African oil palm). Its description in RNAcentral is "long non-coding RNA (EGUI_LNC043775)". The record is from RNAcentral. Lineage: Eukaryota; Viridiplantae; Streptophyta; Magnoliopsida; Arecales; Arecaceae.
CGAUGGAUAUCGCAUGAUUCUCCCAUCCGCUGGCAAGUCACGACAACGGACGCUGCUCCACUCCUCGCAAUUGAUUCCACGUGGCGAGCUACGGCAAUAGCCACGAUUCCGCUCCACUACCCUUCGCAAUAAAUUCUGCCUGACUAUGGGCGGCCCACUACCAGACGGUUACGAACAUCGCUAUCAGUCUGUGGCACCCUCCGCCUAUAAAAAGGGGAACCCCAGAUACAUUAUUAUCUAAGC